AGGGAAACGUGAUUCAACCUGGGGCCCGUGAAAAGACGAGUAUGAUGUCCGUACCGAGAACCGACACAGGUGUCCAUGGCGGCGAAAGCCAAGGCCUGUCGGGAGCAACCGACGUUAGGGAAUUCGGCAAGUUAGUCCCGUAAGUUCGCGAUAAGGGAUGCCUGCUCCGGAACGGAGCAGGUCGCAGUGACUCGGAUGCUCGGACUGUCUAGUAACAACAUAGGUGACUGCAAAUCCGCAAGGACUCGUACAGUCACUGAAUCCUGCCCAGUGCAGGUAUCUGAACACCUCGUACAAGAGGACGAAGGACCUGUCAACGGCGGGGGUAACUAUGACCCUCUUAAGGUAGCGUAGUACCUUGCCGCAUCAGUAGCGGCUUGCAUGAAUGGAUUAACCAGAGCAUCACUGUCCCAACGUUGGGCCCGGUGAACUGUACAUUCCAGUGCGGAGUCUGGAGACACCCAAGGGGAAGCGAAGACCCUAUGGAGCUUUACUGCAGGCUGUCGCUGAGACGUGGUCGCCGAUGUGCAGCAUAGGUAGGAG
RNAcentral lists this ribosomal RNA (543 nucleotides) under Haloarcula sp. S1AR25-4. Its description in RNAcentral is "partial 23S ribosomal RNA". It matches the Rfam family "Archaeal large subunit ribosomal RNA", at positions 1677 to 2230 of the family's 2987-position model. The record is from RNAcentral. Lineage: Archaea; Methanobacteriati; Methanobacteriota; Halobacteria; Halobacteriales; Haloarculaceae.